AUGAAAGAGAAAACGUAAAAAAAAAAAAAAAUAAAAUGGAAAAAGAAACAAAUAUUACAAUGAUAACAAUAUUUUUUGUCAUCAUAAUCAUCAUUAUUAUCGUAAAAAAUGUAGUUUUACGUGCUAAAUUUAAGAUACUUCAAAGAGAAAUAUCGCCAAGUCGUAAUGCCACAGUCUCAUCAGCAUUACGAAAGAACGGAUGAUUUUAGGUUGGCAAACGCAUGUGUCUCGCGAGACAUCGAGAUCUAUUUAAAAUUUGAAAGCUAAACGAUUAGCCAGUUUCAAGGGUAAUGUCGACCUCAAAUCACUUUGACGAUCGUACGUAUCGCGAAUCGCACGCAUCACGCGAAUCACACGCAUCCAAGGUGCCAGGAUAAAGAACAUUUACGUGCAAAAGAAUGAUUUAAUAAAUUGGAAAUAUCUUUUCGUAUUUUUUUCGAGGAAAGCAAAGGCAAUGUUUUGGAAUUUGAAUAAGAUAUAGAAACUAAUAGUAAAAUGAAAGAAUAAUAUUGUCAAGAAUUUUUCCAGCGGUCGAUAAAAUUUCUUUCUAUCCGAAUACCGCAAUCUCGUGAUUUCGUUCGAUAAGCAACAAUGACCAUUUUACUUGUUCGACCAUAUACCACACAUGUUGUCCUUGCUAAAUCAAUAGUAUUGAUGGUAUAGUUGUUUUAUUAAUCAUCGGAGUAGUUAAAGACUUCACUUAUCUACUUUAUUUUCAUACUUCGUUCCUUGAAUCUCAUUGAUUAUUAAUAAAUAUAUACAUACAAUUAAUAUAUAAAUAUAAAUAUACAAUCGUGACCGAAAGUUCUUAAAUAAUUUAAAAAAUCAAUUGCUCCUUUAUUCGAGAAUUUUUAAGCUAAAAAAAAAAAGACAAUUUUACUAGGCUUGUAAUUUUACAAUCAGAAGAAAGAAUUAUCUUGAAAAGCCUCGAAAAAGUUGAUUAAUUUUUAAAAUUAAUAAUUAAAAAAUUUUCGACCGAUUCUUUAUUGAAUAUUCGAUAUUAUAUUAACGUAUUAAUUGUAUUAUUUGAUUAAUGAUCUUUGUAAACUUGCACCUUAUUUUCGAUAAUAUAUAUGUAUAAAGAUGCAAAUUCAAAAGCAACUAUUAAAAAUAGAAGUAAACGUGACGUUGAGAAAAUGAUAUAUAUUUAUUAAUGCCUUUCAAUUUCAUAAACUAACGUAAAUGUUUAUAUCGGCAACACAAAUCGUCUUGGCUAUCGAAAUAUCAAUCUAUUUUUACUGAAUUUACAUUAAAAUUCAUAACAUUUUUCCAUCUGGUUAAGUAUUUUUUAUGUAUACUACUAGAUAAUAUGAAUAUAUUAUGCUAAUACAAGUAGGAAAUUAAUGCAAGUAGUCGAAUGUAUUUAUAAAAAUAAAAAAAAAAAAAAAGAAAAAAAAA
Molecule: long non-coding RNA, 1398 nt
Organism: Vespa crabro (European hornet)
Lineage: Eukaryota; Metazoa; Arthropoda; Insecta; Hymenoptera; Vespidae
Exons: 2
Source: RefSeq, a predicted model, not a curated record